UAAAAAUCUCAGUCUACUGUGUAAUUCCCGUUUUACCAGCCUCCUGCAGGAGGGCCUGGAGCUCCCUUGAUGCAGCCCCUAAUGGGGCAGCCUAUGAUGGGACAGCCCAUGAUGAGACCUCCCUUCACUGGGGUGGCUGGAGCCGCUGCACCAGGAGCACCGGUAACACAUUACACAUAGUAAAGCCCUCAGUGGACAAUAAGGCAAUGUGUCUACACAGACAGGAACCAGUUAUACUUAUGCUUUUACAUUUUAUGAUUUAGGUCAAGAUGAUUAAUGUUGUCCUGAAAAGAUGCAGCACUUUUCUUCCUUUUUUCCCAGAUUCCUCCGGGACCUGCAAGCCAGAGCCCCAAGAAGCCCAAGGACCCUUUGGCAGAACUCGACCUCAAAGACUUCUUAUAACGCCCCAGCUGCUUUCUUCUCUGGAGCAGGGCCCUCGCACCUUUUACUUGGUGUCUGUCAACAUCUCAGGAUGUUCAGCUUAUUCAACCCAAUAAGAGCCUCUUAUCUCCACCCGCCCAUCAACACCCCACCCGUCUCCUGUGUGAUGUCGUAGCACAAACUGUGAAAGUGAACCAUAGCGGAUUAUAUAUAUACAGUAUAUAUAUAUAUAUAUAUGAGAAGAAAAAUAAGUGUGUGUGCUUAUGUAGAUGUACUAACUUUUUGUCUAAACAAAAUGACUCAAAACCCCGAGAAAAAAAAGUCCACAACAGUUAAGUGAAAGAAAGUGAAGGCAUAUGUGUUUAGAUUUCUUUCUAGUGUCGAGUUGAAUGAUGGAUGUGCUUUGGUGUCCUAAGCCCCACCCACCACCCUGUAUUUGUCCCCGCCUCCUCAUAAAGGGGGAGGAGCUCUUCUUUGUCCCACUCUGAUUGGAUGAGAGUGGUAAACGAAGCCCCGGUAGAUUUUUGGAGAAACAUGUUGUGUGUUGGUUUACAGAAAAGGUCCUCGUUGAUGUAUAUAGAUUUCUGUGGCGAGGAUUACGUCUCUAUUCUGUAUGUCUGUUGAAGAGAAAUAUAAAUGUGAAUCUGACAUGAAAUUGUAAGAAGUCGUGUGAGUAUCCUUCUAUUUCCCGUCAUCUUUUGAAAGUAUUUGGAAACAAAUAUGAAUAUCGUUACAUGAUUAAUAUACUGUAUAUUUAAGAAACUUCCAUGAGCUUCUGAAUCAUACCAGGUCACCAAGUGAUCCUUUUUUCUUUGUUUCUUUUUUUACUUGUGGCUUUUUUUCUAUGUUUCUUUAUUCGUCUUUCUGUCCAAUGUUAUUCAUAUGUUCCGUUUCUGUUAAUAAUCCUCCAGAAUGCAUGUCGAUAUUUGCUGGCAUUGCUAUCAAAAAACAUAUCUUACGACGAUCUUUAGAUAUUCGUCAGAGAGGUCAACUGAAACUGUUCCUUUUACAAUAACUGUACCUGUUUCUACCUGCGGUUUGACACUACACAUGUGGGUAUGUCUGUUGCCUGUGCUUUCAUUGUAACUAUGGUUACGACCAGGUCAGUAUGAUUAUUUUGUAUUUAGAGUAAGAUAUUAACAUUGCCAUACCAAACUCGUGAACCAAAAUGUUCAGACAGAUCAAAUCAAUACAAAAGAUUUCAAAGAAUAGCAGACAAUCAACAUGGUGAAAGGACUUUAGUGGUUUUGCUUACUUUUCACUUAAGUCAGAUACAGGCACAUAUUAAAGGUACCCUAUCGAGUUUUUUUUCCUAAACAAAGUUCUGUUUGUUUCUCACCAAAAAAAGCAUUGGGUGUCUACUUGAGGCUUUACAAAUGCGAUAAAUUAAUUUACUUCCAACUAAAAAAUGACAUUCCUGCACACACUCCUGUCACCUCUGCAAUAUUCCUUUUUAUUUGAGAAAUGGAUCUUUGGGGGAAUAAAAUCCCUGCACAAUGAAGGAGACAAAGCGAGUGGUGUGCGUGUUGCUUUGUACUCAUUUCGAAUGAAUUUGAAAAGCGGAUGAAACCUACGUUGUUUACAUACAAUACGGGGUGCUGCUCAUCAAUACGUUGCUUCAUAGUGCUACUAGUCAAAAACUCCACAGGGUUCCUUUAAGUUCCAUGUUACUUACCUGUGCCACACACUGCUGUUAGACAAAAUGGGCCAAGUGACAGUGUGUAUGUCUGCACUGCUGCUUUGACAAUAUUAUAAUUACGAUGCACAAUGAUAUUUGACAAAGGAAAAUCUCAUUUGAUUGCUGUCUGAACAUAACUUGUUCAAGUUGUUUAUUUGAUCAGUGCUGGAUGCCACUGUCCGUCUAGGCAUGAUCUGGUUCCCAAAAGCAUCUUAACACAAAACUCCUCGGUUCCCGCAGACUUACAAUGGAAUGAACAUGUUGAUAAUAUGCAUUUGGACAGCUGUGUAACACCAGAGGCCCCCAGUCCUUUGCUGUAAAUCAGACUAAUGUAAAGUGUACUGUGUGUGUUAUCUUUUUCAGUGGACUGAAUAAGCAAUUGGUUGUGAGAAUCUGAUAUGAUUCAGAGAAAACAAUGGGAGAUUAUUAACUUUUUUUCAUUACUGAAUAAUUGAAAUUGUAUUUUUGUUUAGUUGUAAAUUUAUUUUAUUUACGAUGGCCCUCCCCAGUGCAUGUAAGUCCUUUGAGGUGCAAUAAAUUCAAUGACGGAUUGAACUGCCCAUGAAGGAUUUCUUUUCUUCCAUAUCACAGAGAUUAUAUAAAAUGUCAGUAUGAAGGAGUAUUUCAUUAAUCUAUGUUUGUAUAUCCCACCACAUCAAAAGUAUGUUCAUGUCCAAGGCCAGAUUACCAACUUGGUAAAGACCCCCUAUAGUCCCCAGACCCUCAGGGG
Molecule: long non-coding RNA, 2789 nt
Organism: Sander lucioperca (pikeperch)
Lineage: Eukaryota; Metazoa; Chordata; Actinopteri; Perciformes; Percidae
Source: Ensembl